Molecule: regulatory RNA element, 98 nt
Organism: Vibrio sp.
Lineage: Bacteria; Pseudomonadati; Pseudomonadota; Gammaproteobacteria; Vibrionales; Vibrionaceae
Rfam family: TPP riboswitch aptamer (THI element)
About the family: Vitamin B(1) in its active form thiamin pyrophosphate (TPP) is an essential coenzyme that is synthesised by coupling of pyrimidine and thiazole moieties in bacteria. The previously detected thiamin-regulatory element, thi box was extended, resulting in a new, highly conserved RNA secondary structure, the THI element, which is widely distributed in eubacteria and also occurs in some archaea.
Source: Rfam
UUCAUCUUGUCGGAGUGCCUUUUGGCUGAGACCGUUAAUUCGGGAUCCGUUGAACCUGUCAGGUUAGAACCUGCGAAGGAAACAAGCGAAAUUCAGAG